UCUAAUAUGGCAGAAUAGUGCAAUGAAUUUAAGCUUCAUUUAUAAAGUAAUAAACUUUUUUUAGAA
Molecule: transfer RNA, 66 nt
Filed under: Tanytarsus formosanus
Lineage: Eukaryota; Metazoa; Arthropoda; Insecta; Diptera; Chironomidae
Description: tRNA-Leu
Source: RNAcentral